GAAAUGCGAUAAGUAAUGUGAAUUGCAGAAUUCAGUGAAUCAUCGAAUCUUUGAACGCACCUUGCGCUCCUUGGUAUUCCUUGGAGCAUGCCUGUUUGAGUAUCAUGAAAUCUUCAAAGUAAAUCUUUUGUUAACUCAAUUGGUUUCUACUUUGGUAUUGGAGGUCUUUGCAGCUUCACACCUGCUCCUCUUUGUUCAUUAGCUGGAUCUCAGUGUUAUGCUUGGUUCCACUCGGCGUGAUAAGUUAUCUAUCGCUGAGGACACUGUAAAAGGUGGCCAAGGUAAAUGCAGAUGGACCGCUUCUAAUAGUCCAUUGACUUGGACAAUACUUUUAUGAUCUGAUCUCAAAUCAGGUAGGACUACCCGCUGAACUUAAGC
This 378-nucleotide unclassified non-coding RNA is filed under the name plant metagenome. RNAcentral's name for it is "partial contains 5.8S ribosomal RNA, internal transcribed spacer 2, and large subunit ribosomal RNA". The stretch from base 1 to 105 matches the Rfam family "5.8S ribosomal RNA", at positions 50 to 154 of the family's 154-position model. The record is from RNAcentral.